GUAAGGAUCUAUCUUUGCCGGACGGGCUGGCCCCUAUCUAGCCCGCUGCACGUAUAGCCCCGAACGCGGACUGGGCGGCACAACCAACCCCGCGAAGCUGUCUUUUUAUAAUUAUACGAAGCCGGGCGAGUCNGCGUCUCGCCGAGAGCGGUUCUGCCCUUCGGGCGGGGGCCUCUCUCGAACCAAAGCGCACCCCACUUUUCAAACCCCAAGCGUAAACUCUGAAUCUGAACCUUAAAGGUGGCCGCCCGCCCCACGAAGGCGGGCCCUCCUCCAACCAUUAAACGUUGUAAAACUUUCAGCGACGGAUGUCUUGGCUCCCCCAACGAUGAAGAACGCAGCGAAAUGCGAUACGUCUUGCGACUUGCAGAAUCCAGUGAAUCAUCAAAACUUUGAACGCACCUUGCGCUUCCGGGAUAUUCCUGGGAGCAUGCUUGUCGGAGUGUCUGUUAACUCCACUCGCCCCCCACCCCCNNCUNCUUCCUNNNGAAGAAGAAGAAGAAGGAGGAGGAGGGGGAGGGGCGGACUAUGCGUGUUCCGGAGCCUCCUCUCGCGAAGAAGCCCCGAGUGCACCGAAGAACCUGGAACUCGCAAGGAGAAGCCUCUCACACUCUUCGCUCGACGAGCCGAACUAAGGGAGAGAGUUGUUGACGGUUGUUACGACUCGCUCCCCCGGCGCAACAGAGUGUAGUUAGCUUGUGUGCAGGUCCCUUCUCCUCGCGACCCACGGCCGAU
This 735-nucleotide unclassified non-coding RNA is filed under the name Cladostephus spongiosus. Its description in RNAcentral is "Cladostephus spongiosum sequence contains 18S rRNA gene, ITS1, 5.8S rRNA gene, ITS2". The stretch from base 294 to 448 matches the Rfam family "5.8S ribosomal RNA". Lineage: Eukaryota; Phaeophyceae; Sphacelariales; Cladostephaceae. The record is from RNAcentral.